RNAcentral lists this transfer RNA (72 nucleotides) under Camelus ferus (Wild Bactrian camel). It matches the Rfam family "tRNA". Rfam says of the family: Transfer RNA (tRNA) molecules are approximately 80 nucleotides in length. Their secondary structure includes four short double-helical elements and three loops (D, anti-codon, and T loops). Further hydrogen bonds mediate the characteristic L-shaped molecular structure. tRNAs have two regions of fundamental functional importance: the anti-codon, which is responsible for specific mRNA codon recognition, and the 3' end, to which the tRNAs corresponding amino acid is attached (by aminoacyl-tRNA synthetases). tRNAs cope with the degeneracy of the genetic code in two manners: having more than one tRNA (with a specific anti-codon) for a particular amino acid; and 'wobble' base-pairing, i.e. permitting non-standard base-pairing at the 3rd anti-codon position. The record is from Rfam by way of RNAcentral. Lineage: Eukaryota; Metazoa; Chordata; Mammalia; Artiodactyla; Camelidae.
GAAGGUAUAGCUCAGUGGUAGAGUGCAUGCCUAGCAUGCACAAGGUCCUUGGUUCAAUCCCCAGUACCUCCA